GUCUACGACUCUCCUACCCUGAACAAGCCUGGUCCUGACUGAUCUCGGAAGCUAAGCAGAGUCGGACCUAGUUAGUACUUGGCUAGAGACCACUUAGGAAGAUCUGGUGCUGUAGGCG
Molecule: ribosomal RNA, 118 nt
Filed under: Pteropus alecto (black flying fox)
Lineage: Eukaryota; Metazoa; Chordata; Mammalia; Chiroptera; Pteropodidae
Source: RNAcentral